CUUGCAACAAGUAGGGCGGGACACGAGAAAUCCUGUUUGAAGAUGGGGGGACCAUCCUCCAAGGCUAAAUACUCCUGAUUGACCGAUAGUGAACCAGUACUGUGAAGGAAAGGCGAAAAGAACCCCAGUGAGGGGAGUGAAAUAGAACCUGAAACCGUGUACGUACAAGCAGUGGGAGCCCGAAAGGGUGACUGCGUACCUUUUGUAUAAUGGGUCAGCGACUUAUAUUUUGUAGCGAGGUUAACUGAAUAAGGGAGCCGAAGGGAAACCGAGUCUUAACUGGGCGGUGAGUUGCAAGGUAUAGACCCGAAACCCGGUGAUCUAGCCAUGGGCAGGUUGAAGGUUGGGUAACACUAACUGGAGGACCGAACCGACUAAUGUUGAAAAAUUAGCGGAUGACUUGUGGCUGGGGGUGAAAGGCCAAUCAAACCGGGAGAUAGCUGGUUCUCCCCGAAAUCUAUUUAGGUAGAGCCUUAUGUGAAUACCUUCGGGGGUAGAGCACUGUUUCGGCUAGGGGUCCAUCCCGGAUUACCAACCCGAUGCAAACUGCGAAUACCGAAGAGUAAUGCAUAGGAGACACAC
Molecule: ribosomal RNA, 582 nt
Filed under: Glaesserella parasuis
Lineage: Bacteria; Pseudomonadati; Pseudomonadota; Gammaproteobacteria; Pasteurellales; Pasteurellaceae
Description: partial 23S ribosomal RNA
Rfam family: Bacterial large subunit ribosomal RNA
Source: RNAcentral